CAGCAGCCACGGGAAUACAGAGGGUGCGAGCGUUAAUCGGAUUUACUGGGCGUAAAGCGUGCGUAGGCGGCUUUUUAAGUCGGAUGUGAAAUCCCUGAGCUUAACUUAGGAAUUGCAUUCGAUACUGGAAAGCUAGAGUAUGGGAGAGGAUGGUAGAAUUCCAGGUGUAGCGGUGAAAUGCGUAGAGAUCUGGAGGAAUACCGAUGGCGAAGGCAGCCAUCUGGCCUAAUACUGACGCUGAGGUACGAAAGCAUGGGGAGCAAACAGGAUUAGAUACCCCAGUAGUCCCUGUCUCUUAUAC
This 301-nucleotide ribosomal RNA is filed under the name uncultured bacterium. RNAcentral describes it as "partial 16S ribosomal RNA". It matches the Rfam family "Bacterial small subunit ribosomal RNA", at positions 509 to 807 of the family's 1533-position model. The record is from RNAcentral.